RNAcentral lists this ribosomal RNA (704 nucleotides) under uncultured bacterium. Its description in RNAcentral is "bacterial SSU rRNA". It matches the Rfam family "Bacterial small subunit ribosomal RNA", at positions 777 to 1495 of the family's 1533-position model. The record is from RNAcentral.
AUUAGAUACCCUGGUAGUCCACACGGUAAACGAUGAAUACUCGCUGUUUGCGAUAUACAGCAAGCGGCCAAGCGAAAGCGUUAAGUAUUCCACCUGGGGAGUACGCCGGCAACGGUGAAACUCAAAGGAAUUGACGGGGGCCCGCACAAGCGGAGGAACAUGUGGUUUAAUUCGAUGAUACGCGAGGAACCUUACCCGGGCUUAAAUUGCAGAUGAAUUACGGUGAAAGCCGUAAGCCGCAAGGCAUCUGUGAAGGUGCUGCAUGGUUGUCGUCAGCUCGUGCCGUGAGGUGUCGGCUUAAGUGCCAUAACGAGCGCAACCCUUGUUGUCAGUUACUAACAGGUUCCGCUGAGGACUCUGACAAGACUGCCAUCGUAAGAUGUGAGGAAGGUGGGGAUGACGUCAAAUCAGCACGGCCCUUACGUCCGGGGCUACACACGUGUUACAAUGGGGGGUACAGAGGGUCGCUACCACGCGAGUGGAUGCCAAUCCCCAAAACCUCUCUCAGUUCGGACUGGAGUCUGCAACCCGACUCCACGAAGCUGGAUUCGCUAGUAAUCGCGCAUCAGCCACGGCGCGGUGAAUACGUUCCCGGGCCUUGUACACACCGCCCGUCAAGCCAUGAAAGCCGGGGGCGCCUGAAGUCCGUGACCGCGAGGGUCGGCCUAGGGUGAAACCGGUGAUUGGGGCUAAGUCGUAACAAG